UUCAAAAUAUGAACAGGGUUAAAUUUUAGAGAUGGGCCGGAUUUUUAGAACAACCUAUAAUUCGCUUUCAAUUACCAAGGUAGUCCGGUUAACAUUACUCGUGCAACAAUAGUUAUCCAAUGGUUUGUGUCUCGCCAUUCUUCGCGUUCAACUUUCGAGACGGGCCUGAAAAAACACUCCCCUCUGUAGCCUCCUUUGUCCAUUACAGUCACCCGGUUCCUCCAAUAGGAUCACUCCAUUUCCCCGUCGUCUUCUUCGUCAUUCGCUCUGUGCAUGAAUUUCAAUGAUCAGCCUGCUGCCUGCUGCUGUUAUAUCAUCCCUUGUUGCGUGAUGCCUGCUCAUAGCCAGGAUAUUUGUCUUGGGGGGAGGCCUUGGCCUGGCGAGGGGAGGUUUAACCCCUUUAAGGCAAAGGGGUCCGAGGUCCCCCCGCAAAUUUGUUGAAAAAUACCUUCCAUCGGUAACAAGGGAGGGAGUUUGAGUCCCCCAAACCCCUCCCCCCCCCUCCCGGAGAAGUACCUGGUUUAGAAUACUAGGCGGGAGAUGGAGAAGAGGGUAUUCAUGAAGAAGUAAAUAGCUUCAUUUUCUCCUCGUCUUCUUGUCUAUCUCUACAGGUAUCAAUUUCAUGAAUCACCCCUCAUAGGAAGGUCCUCGUUUUCCCGUGGAAAGAAAACUCCGAGAAAGUGACCACUGUACGCCACAGUGCGUUGUGCACCGCGUUUCUCUCGUCCCUUCCCGUCACAAAGAGCUUUUCCAAAACAACCCAGUAUAGUAAUGGCUUCCACUCGCCAAGUUCCGUGUUCCGAGUCUCGUUUCCCGCAAGUUUCGCCGACAAUGUCCGCCUCCGGCCGAUAGCUUUCGCGACAGACCAUCGGCUGAUAUUCCCAGUAACCUUUGACCUGUGUUGUGUGCAUUUUGCCAGCGCCCAGGGGAUAUGCAACCUGCAAUGUGCGACGAGCCAAUGCGACAGUCUAUCACGAAAGCCCCCUUAUAUUUCGAAUCGAUGAAGCCUGAAGGAUUAUAAACCAUUAAAACAUCU
Molecule: long non-coding RNA, 1036 nt
Filed under: Bemisia tabaci
Lineage: Eukaryota; Metazoa; Arthropoda; Insecta; Hemiptera; Aleyrodidae
Description: lncRNA ENSSSA1UGG011914
Source: RNAcentral